This 460-nucleotide ribosomal RNA is filed under the name uncultured bacterium. Its description in RNAcentral is "partial 16S ribosomal RNA". It matches the Rfam family "Bacterial small subunit ribosomal RNA", at positions 338 to 795 of the family's 1533-position model. The record is from RNAcentral.
CCUACGGGUGGCAGCAGUGAGGAAUAUUGGUCAAUGGCCGUAAGGCUGAACCAGCCAAGCCGCGUGAAGGAAGAAGGAUCUAUGGUUUGUAAACUUCUUUUAUAGGGGAAUAAAGGUAUCCAUGUGUGGAUAUUUGCAUGUACCCUAUGAAUAAGCAUCGGCUAACUCCGUGCCAGCAGCCGCGGUAAUACGGAGGAUGCGAGCGUUAUCCGGAUUUACUGGGUUUAAAGGGUGCGUAGGUUGUUUUUUAAGUCAGCGGUGAAAGUUUGUGGCUCAACCAUAAAAUUGCCGUUGAAACUGGAAGACUUGAGUUUGUUUGAGGUAGGCGGAAUGCGUGGUGUAGCGGUGGAAUGCAUAGAUAUCACGCAGAACUCCGAUUGCGAAGGCAGCUUACUAGGCCAUGACUGACACUGAGGCGCGAAAGCGAGGGGAUCGAACAGGAUUAGAUACCCGGGUAGUC